This 468-nucleotide ribosomal RNA is filed under the name uncultured bacterium. RNAcentral describes it as "partial 16S ribosomal RNA". It matches the Rfam family "Bacterial small subunit ribosomal RNA", at positions 28 to 507 of the family's 1533-position model. The record is from RNAcentral.
GACGAACGCUGGCGGCGUGCUUAACACAUGCAAGUCGAACGGAAAGGCCCUGCUUUUGUGGGGUGCUCGAGUGGCGAACGGGUGUGUAACACGUGAGUAACCUGCCCUUGUCUUUGGGAUAACUUCUGGAAACUGGGGCUCAUACCGGAUAGGAGCUCCUGCUGCAUGGUGGGGGUUGGAAAGUUUCGGCGGUUGGGGAUGGUCUCGCGGCUUAUCAGCUUGUUGGUGGGGUAGUGGCUUACCAAGGCUUUGACGGAUAGCCGGCCUGAGAGGGGGACCGGCCACAUGGGGACUGAGAUACGGCCCAGACUCCUACGGGAGGCAGCAGUGGGGAAUAUUGCACAAUGGGCGGAAGCCUGAUGCAGCAACGCCGCGUGCGGGAUGACGGCCUUCGGGUUGUAAACCGCUUUCGCCUGUGACGAAGCGUGAGUGACGGUAAUGGGUAAAGAAGCACCGGCUAACUACGUG